Molecule: ribosomal RNA, 2834 nt
Filed under: Acinetobacter baumannii
Lineage: Bacteria; Pseudomonadati; Pseudomonadota; Gammaproteobacteria; Moraxellales; Moraxellaceae
Description: 23S ribosomal RNA
Rfam family: Bacterial large subunit ribosomal RNA
Source: RNAcentral
AGUCAAGUAAUUAAGUGCAUGUGGUGGAUGCCUUGGCAGUCAGAGGCGAUGAAAGACGUGAUAGCCUGCGAAAAGCUCCGGGGAGGCGGCAAAUAUCCUUUGAUCCGGAGAUGUCUGAAUGGGGGAACCCACCUACUUUAAGGUAGGUAUUGCAACAUGAAUACAUAGUGUUGCAAGGCGAACGAGGGGAAGUGAAACAUCUCAGUACCCUUAGGAAAAGAAAUCAAUUGAGAUUCCCUCAGUAGCGGCGAGCGAACGGGGAUCAGCCCAUUAAGUUAUGUGUGUUUUAGUGGAACGCUCUGGGAAGUGCGAACGUAGAGGGUGAUAUUCCCGUACACGAAAGGGCACACAUAAUGAUGACGAGUAGGGCGAGGCACGUGAAACCUUGUCUGAAUAUGGGGGGACCAUCCUCCAAGGCUAAAUACUCCUGACUGACCGAUAGUGAACCAGUACCGUGAGGGAAAGGCGAAAAGAACCCCUGUGAGGGGAGUGAAAUAGAUCCUGAAACCGCAUGCAUACAAGCAGUGGGAGCACCUUCGUGGUGUGACUGCGUACCUUUUGUAUAAUGGGUCAGCGACUUAUAUUCAGUAGCGAGGUUAACCGUAUAGGGGAGCCGUAGAGAAAUCGAGUCUUAAUAGGGCGUUUAGUUGCUGGGUAUAGACCCGAAACCAGGCGAUCUAUCCAUGAGCAGGUUGAAGGUUGGGUAACACUAACUGGAGGACCGAACCCACUGUCGUUGAAAAGCCAGGGGAUGACUUGUGGAUAGGGGUGAAAGGCUAAUCAAGCCUGGUGAUAGCUGGUUCUCCCCGAAAGCUAUUUAGGUAGCGCCUCGGACGAAUACCAUAGGGGGUAGAGCACUGUUUCGGCUAGGGGGUCAUCCCGACUUACCAAACCGAUGCAAACUCCGAAUACCUAUGAGUACUAUCCGGGAGACAGACUGCGGGUGCUAACGUCCGUAGUCAAGAGGAAAACAAUCCAGACCGCCAGCUAAGGCCCCAAAAUCAUAGUUAAGUGGGAAACGAUGUGGGAAGGCAUAGACAGCUAGGAGGUUGGCUUAGAAGCAGCCACCCUUUAAAGAAAGCGUAAUAGCUCACUAGUCGAGUCGGCCUGCGCGGAAGAUGUAACGGGGCUAAAACUAUGUGCCGAAGCUGCGGAUNNAUGCUGGAGGUAUCAGAAGUGCGAAUGCUGACGUGAGUAACGACAAAACGGGUGAAAAACCCGUUCGCCGAAAGACCAAGGGUUCCAGUCCAACGUUAAUCGGGGCUGGGUGAGUCGACCCCUAAGGCGAGGCCGAAAGGCGUAGUCGAUGGGAAAAUGGUUAAUAUUCCAUUACUUCUGUGUAAUGCGAUGAGAGGACGGAGAAGGCUAAAUCAGCCUGGCGUUGGUUGUCCAGGUGAAAGGAUGUAGGCAUGUAUCUUAGGCAAAUCCGGGGUACUCUAUGCUGAGAUCUGAUAGCAAGCUGUACUUGUACAGCGAAGUGGUUGAUGCCAUGCUUCCAGGAAAAGUCUCUAAGCUUCAGUUACACAGGAAUCGUACCCGAAACCGACACAGGUGGUCAGGUCGAGUAGACCAAGGCGCUUGAGAGAACUCUGCUGAAGGAACUAGGCAAAAUGGUACCGUAACUUCGGGAGAAGGUACGCUGUUGUUGGUGAUGGAACUCGCUUCCUGAGCUGACGACAGCCGCAGAAACCAGGCCGCUGCAACUGUUUAUUAAAAACAUAGCACUCUGCAAACACGAAAGUGGACGUAUAGGGUGUGAUGCCUGCCCGGUGCUGGAAGGUUAAUUGAUGGGGUUAGCGUAAGCGAAGCUCUUGAUCGAAGCCCCAGUAAACGGCGGCCGUAACUAUAACGGUCCUAAGGUAGCGAAAUUCCUUGUCGGGUAAGUUCCGACCUGCACGAAUGGCAUAAUGAUGGCGGCGCUGUCUCCAGCAGAGGCUCAGUGAAAUCGAAAUCGCUGUGAAGAUGCAGUGUACCCGCGGCUAGACGGAAAGACCCCGUGAACCUUUACUGCAGCUUGACACUGAACUUUGACCUUACUUGUGUAGGAUAGGUGGGAGGCUUUGAAGCUGGAACGCUAGUUCCAGUGGAGCCGUCCUUGAAAUACCACCCUGGUAAUGUUGAGGUUCUAACUCUGUCCCGUGAUCCGGGACGAGGACCGUGUCUGGUGGGUAGUUUGACUGGGGCGGUCUCCUCCUAAAGAGUAACGGAGGAGUACGAAGGUGCGCUCAGCGUGGUCGGAAAUCACGCGUAGAGUAUAAAGGCAAAAGCGCGCUUAACUGCGAGACCCACAAGUCGAGCAGGUACGAAAGUAGGUCUUAGUGAUCCGGUGGUUCUGUAUGGAAGGGCCAUCGCUCAACGGAUAAAAGGUACUCUGGGGAUAACAGGCUGAUACCGCCCAAGAGUUCAUAUCGACGGCGGUGUUUGGCACCUCGAUGUCGGCUCAUCUCAUCCUGGGGCUGAAGCAGGUCCCAAGGGUAUGGCUGUUCGCCAUUUAAAGAGGUACGCGAGCUGGGUUUAGAACGUCGUGAGACAGUUCGGUCCCUAUCUACCGUGGGCGCUGGAAAUUUGAGAGGAUCUGCUCCUAGUACGAGAGGACCAGAGUGGACGAACCUCUGGUGUACCGGUUGUGACGCCAGUCGCAUCGCCGGGUAGCUAUGUUCGGAAGGGAUAACCGCUGAAAGCAUCUAAGCGGGAAGCCUACCUCAAGAUAAGAUUUCCCUAGGACUUUAUGUCCUCUAAAGAGCCGUUCGAGACUAGGACGUUGAUAGGUUGGAUGUGGAAGCAUAGUGAUAUGUGAAGCUGACCAAUACUAAUUGCUCGUGAGGCUUGACUAU